RNAcentral lists this ribosomal RNA (432 nucleotides) under uncultured anaerobic ammonium-oxidizing bacterium. RNAcentral's name for it is "bacterial SSU rRNA". It matches the Rfam family "Bacterial small subunit ribosomal RNA", at positions 383 to 810 of the family's 1533-position model. The record is from RNAcentral.
GUGAUCAAGCGACGCCGCGUGCGGGAUGAAGGGCUUCGGCUUGUAAACCGCUUUUGCCUGGGAAGAAUGCCCGGAUCGUGAAUCCGGGAGCGACGGUACCAGGCGAAUAAGCCCCGGCUAACUCCGUGCCAGCAGCCGCGGUAAUACGGAGGGGGCAAGCGUUGUUCGGAAUUAUUGGGCGUAAAGAGCUCGUAGGCGGAUCGGAAAGUCUGACGUGAAAUCUCCACCACUCAACGGGGAGAGGUCGCUGGAAACUCCCGAUCUGGAGUUCGGCAGAGGGUCGUGGAAUUCCGCAUGUAGCGGUGGAAUGCGUAGAUAUGCGGAAGAACACCGGUGGCGAAGGCGGCGACCUGGGCCGAAACUGACGCUGAGGAGCGAAAGCUAGGGGAGCAAACGGGAUUAGAUACCCCGGUAGUCCUAGCCCUAAACGAU